AACUUUCAGCAAUGGAUCGCUUGGCUCUCGCAUCGAUGAAGAACACAGAGUAAUGUGACAAGUAAUGUGAAUUGCAGAUUUCAGUGAAUCAUCGAAUCUUUGAACGCAUCUUGCGCUCCUUGUUAUUACGAGGAGCAUGCCUGUUUGAGUGUCAUUUAAAACUUCUCAACCACUUGGAGUCUCUCUGGGUGGCUUGGAAAUGGGGAUGUGCAGGCCAGCUAAUGGUCUGCUCCCCUGAAAUGAAUUAGUGGCAUCUGAGCAGAGACUACCACAGGUGUAAUAACUAUUGAUCAAUGCCUUGGUAUAUACUGCAGGUUGUUGCUGCUUCUAAUGACCCAUUGACAAACUUGACCUCAAAUCAGGUAGGAUUACCCGCUGAACUUAAGCAUAUCAAUAAGCGGAGGCU
RNAcentral lists this unclassified non-coding RNA (406 nucleotides) under uncultured Inocybe. RNAcentral's name for it is "sequence contains ITS2". The stretch from base 1 to 154 matches the Rfam family "5.8S ribosomal RNA". The record is from RNAcentral. Lineage: Eukaryota; Fungi; Basidiomycota; Agaricomycetes; Agaricales; Cortinariaceae.